This 2923-nucleotide ribosomal RNA is filed under the name Klebsiella pneumoniae. RNAcentral describes it as "bacterial LSU rRNA". It matches the Rfam family "Bacterial large subunit ribosomal RNA". Lineage: Bacteria; Pseudomonadati; Pseudomonadota; Gammaproteobacteria; Enterobacterales; Enterobacteriaceae. The record is from RNAcentral.
GGGUUGUGAGGUUAAGCGACUAAGCGUACACGGUGGAUGCCCUGGCAGUCAGAGGCGAUGAAGGACGUGCUAAUCUGCGAAAAGCGUCGGUAAGGUGAUAUGAACCGUUAUAACCGGCGAUGUCCGAAUGGGGAAACCCAGUGCAAUUCGUUGCACUAUCGUUAACUGAAUACAUAGGUUAACGAGGCGAACCGGGGGAACUGAAACAUCUAAGUACCCCGAGGAAAAGAAAUCAACCGAGAUUCCCCCAGUAGCGGCGAGCGAACGGGGAGCAGCCCAGAGUCUGAAUCAGCUUGUGUGUUAGUGGAACGGUCUGGAAAGUCCGACGGUACAGGGUGAUAGUCCCGUACACCAAAAUGCACAGGCUGUGAACUCGAAGAGUAGGGCGGGACACGUGGUAUCCUGUCUGAAUAUGGGGGGACCAUCCUCCAAGGCUAAAUACUCCUGACUGACCGAUAGUGAACCAGUACCGUGAGGGAAAGGCGAAAAGAACCCCGGCGAGGGGAGUGAAAAAGAACCUGAAACCGUGUACGUACAAGCAGUGGGAGCACCUUCGGGUGUGACUGCGUACCUUUUGUAUAAUGGGUCAGCGACUUAUAUUCUGUAGCAAGGUUAACCGUAUAGGGGAGCCGCAGGGAAACCGAGUCUUAACUGGGCGUUAAGUUGCAGGGUAUAGACCCGAAACCCGGUGAUCUAGCCAUGGGCAGGUUGAAGGUUGGGUAACACUAACUGGAGGACCGAACCGACUAAUGUUGAAAAAUUAGCGGAUGACUUGUGGCUGGGGGUGAAAGGCCAAUCAAACCGGGAGAUAGCUGGUUCUCCCCGAAAGCUAUUUAGGUAGCGCCUCGUGAAUUCAUCUUCGGGGGUAGAGCACUGUUUCGGCUAGGGGGUCAUCCCGACUUACCAACCCGAUGCAAACUACGAAUACCGAAGAAUGUUAUCACGGGAGACACACGGCGGGUGCUAACGUCCGUCGUGAAGAGGGAAACAACCCAGACCGCCAGCUAAGGUCCCAAAGUCAUGGUUAAGUGGGAAACGAUGUGGGAAGGCACAGACAGCCAGGAUGUUGGCUUAGAAGCAGCCAUCAUUUAAAGAAAGCGUAAUAGCUCACUGGUCGAGUCGGCCUGCGCGGAAGAUGUAACGGGGCUAAACCAUGCACCGAAGCUGCGGCAGCGACACUAUGUGUUGUUGGGUAGGGGAGCGUUCUGUAAGCCUGCGAAGGUGACCUGUGAGGGUUGCUGGAGGUAUCAGAAGUGCGAAUGCUGACAUAAGUAACGAUAAAGCGGGUGAAAAGCCCGCUCGCCGGAAGACCAAGGGUUCCUGUCCAACGUUAAUCGGGGCAGGGUGAGUCGACCCCUAAGGCGAGGCCGAAAGGCGUAGUCGAUGGGAAACAGGUUAAUAUUCCUGUACUUGGUGUUACUGCGAAGGGGGGACGGAGAAGGCUAUGUUAGCCGGGCGACGGUUGUCCCGGUUUAAGCAUGUAGGCUGGUUGUCCAGGCAAAUCCGGAUAAUCAAGGCUGAGGUGUGAUGACGAGGUACUACGGUGCUGAAGUAACAAAUGCCCUGCUUCCAGGAAAAGCCUCUAAGCAUCAGGUAACAUCAAAUCGUACCCCAAACCGACACAGGUGGUCAGGUAGAGAAUACCAAGGCGCUUGAGAGAACUCGGGUGAAGGAACUAGGCAAAAUGGUGCCGUAACUUCGGGAGAAGGCACGCUGGUGUGUAGGUGAAGUCCCUGCGGAUGGAGCUGAGACCAGUCGAAGAUACCAGCUGGCUGCAACUGUUUAUUAAAAACACAGCACUGUGCAAACACGAAAGUGGACGUAUACGGUGUGACGCCUGCCCGGUGCCGGAAGGUUAAUUGAUGGGGUUAUCCGUAAGGAGAAGCUCUUGAUCGAAGCCCCGGUAAACGGCGGCCGUAACUAUAACGGUCCUAAGGUAGCGAAAUUCCUUGUCGGGUAAGUUCCGACCUGCACGAAUGGCGUAAUGAUGGCCAGGCUGUCUCCACCCGAGACUCAGUGAAAUUGAACUCGCUGUGAAGAUGCAGUGUACCCGCGGCAAGACGGAAAGACCCCGUGAACCUUUACUAUAGCUUGACACUGAACAUUGAGCCUUGAUGUGUAGGAUAGGUGGGAGGCUUUGAAGCGUGGACGCCAGUCUGCGUGGAGCCAACCUUGAAAUACCACCCUUUAAUGUUUGAUGUUCUAACGUUGGCCCCUGACCGGGGUUGCGGACAGUGUCUGGUGGGUAGUUUGACUGGGGCGGUCUCCUCCCAAAGCGUAACGGAGGAGCACGAAGGUUAGCUAAUCCUGGUCGGACAUCAGGAGGUUAGUGCAAUGGCAUAAGCUAGCUUGACUGCGAGCGUGACGGCGCGAGCAGGUGCGAAAGCAGGUCAUAGUGAUCCGGUGGUUCUGAAUGGAAGGGCCAUCGCUCAACGGAUAAAAGGUACUCCGGGGAUAACAGGCUGAUACCGCCCAAGAGUUCAUAUCGACGGCGGUGUUUGGCACCUCGAUGUCGGCUCAUCACAUCCUGGGGCUGAAGUAGGUCCCAAGGGUAUGGCUGUUCGCCAUUUAAAGUGGUACGCGAGCUGGGUUUAGAACGUCGUGAGACAGUUCGGUCCCUAUCUGCCGUGGGCGCUGGAGAAUUGAGGGGGGCUGCUCCUAGUACGAGAGGACCGGAGUGGACGCAUCACUGGUGUUCGGGUUGUCAUGCCAAUGGCACUGCCCGGUAGCUAAAUGCGGAAGAGAUAAGUGCUGAAAGCAUCUAAGCACGAAACUUGCCCCGAGAUGAGUUCUCCCUGAGACUUUAAGUCUCCUGAAGGAACGUUAAAGACGAUGACGUUGAUAGGCCGGGUGUGUAAGCGCAGCGAUGCGUUGAGCUAACCGGUACUAAUGAACCGUGAGGCUUAACCUUACAACGCCGAAG